This is a non-coding RNA of Oryctolagus cuniculus (rabbit), 5433 nucleotides long. The record is from RefSeq and is a predicted model, not a curated record. Lineage: Eukaryota; Metazoa; Chordata; Mammalia; Lagomorpha; Leporidae.
ACUAAAGUGAGUUAUCGAAGAGGCAGAAGUAGGACUGAAUCUAGGACAGUUUGGAUUUGGACAUAUAAAGUAGUUAGAAAAAUUGGAGCAACUUUGUGGGCAGAAUGAGGCAUAAAGCUUCUUUGAGGUGAAUGUUUAAGUACCUGGACGUUUGAGCCUGGUAUAACAUCUUUGGCAGUGGCGAGUGUGCUGGCAAAGUUUUUUUCACUGAAACCAUGAUUUUCUAUUCCUUUCCCAUGGGAUCACCUCCUGAAGCAGUCAGAGGGUUAUUUUAGGAGUCAGAUUCUCAAGGGAGCAAUGAUCAGUGUAAAACAGAAUAAAAACAGUACAAAUUCUUUAUUUCUGGAAGUCUGUAUACCAUAGUAGAGGCAAUAUUUUAAAAAGAGAGUUUCAAAGUUGUUUAUUUUGCAAUGAACUUACUGAGACACAGAUUUUACUUCUUUUUCUGUCUUAACUGCCGGAAGCUUCUAUCUAAUUAUCAAGAUCCAAAGCCUGUUGGAAUUUGAGCCACAAAUUGAUAUAAUAGACUAGGAAAGUGACGUUUAAACUGAUUAAUGUAUGAGAAAAGUUAUUAUAAAAAGAAUAUAAUUAGACAAUACAAGUAGUAGUCUCUGGGAAGCACUCAAUUUACUGAUUUUAAAAACAAUCCCUAAAGAAUGGAGAUGACACAAACCUGUUGAAAAGCAAAAAAAAGUAUCCACAUGUUUGUUAAAGAUGAUAAGGCAGAAGUUAUUCAAAGGGGUGAUAGUUACAGUGAUGACUGCUGUGGGUUCUUGAUUUGGGAAGAGAGAUUAUAUUCAACCCUGACUUGCAUAAGGAGAUAUUUACAACCACGGAGCAAGGUAGACAUCAGUGGAUAGAAAAUUACCUGGGAAACAUCAGCUGAAGGGGACUUCUGACUAAGCCAACUGAUAGGAUUAUUACUGAAGGCCGGUAAGGGUGACAGAAUAUUCAUGGUGGUCAGAUAACAAGCAUGGGGAUAUUUUUCCAAUACUAACUUAAAAGGUUUACUACUAAAAUUGGAUUCUGUAGAGCAAAGAAGGAAAUAUAAAUUCAAACCCAGUUAAGCAGAGGACUCAGAGGAGCUUGACUGAAGUUUUAUUCAAAAGAAUGUUUGAUAGCUACUAGAUAGGAGAAGACAUAAAUAAUUACUUGGCUACCCAUGGUGUAAUAUAGAAAACACACAGCCCAAAAUGGUACCUGUGGUGAGAAUAGCAAAAGUUCAAAGAGAUUCUCAGUUAGAUCAAAGUUUGAAAAUCUCAAAAAGUCAUGACUUCCAGGAUUCAGAUGGGAAAAUAACAAAGAAAUCUGAAGCAAGGAUUCAUAAUUGUGUGUGUGGCGUUGGCAGUUAUAACCAGGCAUGGGGCCAUGAGCUGGUCCAGGAAAGGUGAUGAGAAUAAUGUGGACUGGAUGGAGAAGAGCUACAUUUCAGUUGAGACAGAGACAAGAAGAAUGGAUGCUCUUGUUCUCAUGAGUGCAUUAUGUAUAACUCCAUUUCCCACCUCAAAAUUUACAUGAUUUAUGGAGGAGCUGGGAGAAACACAGCUCUGCAUAUGUACGGGUGUACUUACAUGGUGGUGAUGUUUCUAGAAGGUAGAAUUCUAAGACACUCACUCUUAACACAGAAGUAAUAAAAUUACCAUGAAUUAAUAGAGCUAAAUAUUUCCCAUGGAAUUGGAAUCUCAAUGAAAUCAAUUCCGUGUAUAGACGUCGACUGUUUGCCAUAGAGAUGGAAUCUCCUUUGAAAGCUGUUUACAGGGAGGGUAUGGCAAGGGAAAAUGUGCCCAAGGUCCUGUAUUUAUGUCUGGGAGCCUGUUGAUCUGGAGGCUGUGAAGACUUUGAUAAAGGGGUCAACAUCUGUUGAUAAUUUUCUUGCUGCAUCAUCCUAUGAGUUCCUCUCUUGGCCUAUAAAUUAAACCAUUAGGUUCAAGAACAAUGGAGAGUUGCGAUGUCUCUUUGAUGACUUCAUCAAAAUCGCAGGUGGGAGUUCUUAUUCAUUGCUGUGUGAAUGGCCACAGCAUGCACAAUUCUAAGGUGUCGGGUGAGUCAGUUGUGGGAAAAUGAAGUCAAGACCAGAAAUGUCCGACAUCAAUACUGAAAGAUCAUUCCUUGACAUUUGCAGAAGUAAAAAGGAUGGAAAUAUAGAUCAUAUGACUGAUCCUAUUUCAAGGCCCUAAGCCAUGAGUUGUGCCAAGAUGAAAAAUUAUGUUAUUUGUAUAAAUUGAAGAGCACUGUAUCGUUUAGUAGAGAAUGGUUUUCAGAAGCCAAGAUCUGGGCUCUGAACUGGCUCAUCAUUAUCAGUAUAUCAUUGUCAUGUUUUCGAGUUCCAGUAAGGACAUGAAGACCCAAAGAAGUAGCAAAACCUACAUGCAUUGUGUGAGGUUGAGCAAAGAAAGGCACUUAUGAAAAAGUGUCUAAAUUAUGUGAGGAUUCCAAAGGAAGAUAAAAUUAUUUGAACAAGGCACUAAUUUGUAAAGAUGACUUGGUUCAUGAAUAGCUAUUCAAGAGUUAAAGAAACCAGAUGGAGAAGCAAGACUACAGCUAUGGAAGUAGAGCAAAGAAUGAACUAGGGAUCUUGCCUUAGAGCUCAGGACCAGACUGCAGCUGUGUGAUUAAGAGUCUGAAAGAAGGCCGGUGCCGCAGCUCACUAGGAUAAUCCUCCACCUUGCGGUGCCGGCACACCAGGUUCUAGUCCCGGUCGGGGCGCCAGAUUCUGUCCCGGUUGCCCCUCUUCCAGGCCAGCUCUCUGCUGUGGCCAGGGAGUGCAGUGGAGGAUGGCCCAAGUGCUUGGGCCCUGCACCCCAUGGGAGACCAGGAGAAGCACCUGGCUCCUGCCAUCAGAUCAGUGCGUUGGCCGGCCGCGGCGGACAUUGGAGGGUGAACCAACGGCAAAAGGAAGACCUUUCUCUCUGUCUCUCUCUCUCACUGUCCACUCUGCCUGUCAAAAAAAAAAAAAAAAAAAGAGUCUGAAAGAAUCCUGACGUCAGGUUAAACUGCCACCUGCAAUGCCGGCAUCCCAUAUGAGCACCAGUUCAAGUCCUUCCUCCAUUUCUGAUCCAGGUCCCUGCAAAUGUACAGUGGAAGAAAGCCCAACCACUUGUGCCCCUGCACCAAUGUGGAAGACAGGGAUGGAGUUUCAGGAUCUCCUCUUCAGCCUGGCCCAGCCCUGCCUAGUGAGGCCAUUCAAGGAGUGAACCAUCACCUGGGUGGUCUCUCUCUUUUUAUGCCACUUCCUGUUUGUAACUCUGCCUUUCAAAUGAAUAAAAACAACAGUAUGUUCCUAAAGUUGUAUUUAUGAAAUUCCUAAGAUUGUAUACUUGAAUAAGAGGUAUUUGGGUUUAAAAAAAAAAGAAAGUAAGAAAGAAAAACCAAAUGCCUCUGUCCCAGGCCAGUGCUUGCAGACAACCAAUAGAGUGGCUGAACAUCAGAGAUCUUACUCCACAGGGUCUUGUUUCAUCAUAUAUCAUGGCUCAUAUGGCCUGGCCUUCACCCCUGAGACUGGGUGGGGCCUGCUAACUGAGAACCAGUUGUGACCUGGCUAAGAGUCAGCCUAAUUACCCCUACUUUAAACUUGAAUAGACAGACAGUAACCAAAGGAUUCUGUACUGGGACUCAGUGCUAGGCUGGUAACACACAAAAGGAAUGAUCCUCAUUCCUAUGCCAGUGACUACAGACAGACCUUCCAUUUGCUAAAGGCUCAGUCAGGCUUCCUGCUUUACCAGGAAGCUGGAUAUGUUUUGUCUCACUGACAGCUAAAUGUGGGUCUGUUGUGAACCUUAGCCCCCACAUCUUCCAGAUUGUACCGGGUCUGUCUACUGACAAUUUUGAUACCCAGCUGUCUCCCAUCUUAGUACCAGUGGAGGUGGCCAAUAGGUUGACUAUCACCCUUUAAACAUCCUUGGGCAGAUAGCAAAGAAUGGCAGGGCUGUGCUUUGUGCUCAAUAUCAGCCAUAUUGGGAAAAUAUAACAUUGGGCAGAUCCUAAUGGACAUUGUUCCCAGGUCACGGUCAACCACUGGAGCCUCUGAACUUGCCCCAGUGCCAAUUGGAGUUCCGUGGCCCUGGUUCAUUGGCCUUAUAUUCUAGCCAGCAUCACUUGUGGCUAGUUGUAGCAGCCCUGAACUGUGAUUCCAUCUCUGUAGUAGGUCACAGCAGUAUGGAUUUUGAUCCCCCAGUGGGCUGUGAGCUACUGGUGUGAUAUAGCACUGUAUCAUUGGCAGGCAAAAAACUAGGCAUCAGGGCCUACCCUUGUUCCAGAAAGAGGCUUGUAGGGGUAGACAAUACCAGUUUCAGCGCCUCUUUAUUCAUGCUGAGUGGCACAUCAGCUGCAAAUUUGAAAUAAACUCAAGUUCAGAGUGGCAUGCAAUGAGCAAAAUAAGGUACCAGAAACCAACCAUCUCAGCUCUGACAUAGUCAAUGCUUGGAUGAAGAAUUCAAGAUAGUUGCUUUAAGGAAACUCAAUAAAUUUCAAGAGAACAAAGAAACAAUCUAGUACUUUAACAGAAAUUUUACAGAAAGAUGAAAGUAAUUAAAACUCUCCACAUGAAAAUUACAUUAUGUGAAAUUUAAAAUGUAAUAAAAAGCAUCAAUAGCAUAAUCAAUGAAAUAUAAGAAAAAAAUCCAUGAACUAGAAGGUAGGCUCUUUGAAAAUCCACAGUAAUUGGAGAAAAAAUAAAGUCGAUAGCAGCGAAGGAAGAUUGAGACUUUAGGAGAGCAUAUAAAGAGUAAAUGUCUGAAUAAUUAGGCUUCAAGAGGAACUUAAGGAUGAAUAAAGGGAUAAAAGUCAUAUUUAAAGACAUAAUAAAAGGAAGGUUAUCAAACCAAGAGAAAAAUAUAACUAUUUAAAUAUAGGAAGGUCAGGAGUCAUCAGCCAUGUUCAACUCAACCAUGUCUAAACCAAGGCAUAUUAUAAUGGAGCUCUCCAAAAUAAAAGAUAAAACGAUUCUCAAAGUUGCAAGAAGAAAUAAAUAAAGGAUCAAAAUUAAGCCAAAUGUUGACUUCUUAGCAGAAAACUUAAAGGCCAGGAGGGAGUAGCAAUAGACUUUCAUAGUAUUGAAAGAAAACCAAAUAAAAAAACGUGCCAGCCAAGAGAAUGUUGUACCCAGCAAAGCAGUCCUCCAGACAUGACAGAAAGAUAAAGAUAUUCCCAAACAAAAUCCGUGAAAAUUUUUAACCUCUAGACUUACAAGAAAUGUUAAACAGAGUUCUUUAAGCAAAGAGGUGCUACAAAGUAAGACCACAAUAUAAGAAAGUAGGAAACACAAAAGAGUAGGCAUACAAAUUCAAAAUUCAAUGGUGUAAUAAACUUGUAUAAAUCAUUCAUAUUCUUAGUAUGAAGACUAAAAUGCAAAGCAAUUAAAAUAAUGGCAACUGCAGUAAUGUUAAGAGAUAGGGGAUGUAGAAAAAUGGAAAAUAAGACCUCAAAAAUGCAAAG